CGCGCUAAGUUCAGCAUCAAUAUGGUGACCUUUCUGGAGCACGGGACCAUCAGGUUGCCUAAGGAGGGGUGAACCGGCCCAGAUCAGAAAUGGAGCAGGUCAAAGCUCCCAUGCGGAUCAGUAGUUG
Molecule: small RNA, 127 nt
Filed under: Rhinolophus ferrumequinum (greater horseshoe bat)
Lineage: Eukaryota; Metazoa; Chordata; Mammalia; Chiroptera; Rhinolophidae
Description: Metazoan signal recognition particle RNA (ENSRFEG00010017080.1)
Rfam family: Metazoan signal recognition particle RNA
About the family: The signal recognition particle (SRP) is a universally conserved ribonucleoprotein. It is involved in the co-translational targeting of proteins to membranes.
Source: Rfam by way of RNAcentral